Etheostoma spectabile (orangethroat darter) is the source of this 236-nucleotide long non-coding RNA. RefSeq lists it as uncharacterized. NCBI's taxonomy places the organism in Eukaryota, Metazoa, Chordata, Actinopteri, Perciformes, Percidae. The record is from RefSeq and is a predicted model, not a curated record. The transcript is spliced from 3 exons.
GAAUGACUGAUUCAAGCCCAUUUCCAAUUUUUCCAAAUCGAGGCACCAAUCACAACCACUGAGGCGGGCUUUACACGAUGACCAUAGCGCAGCGACAGCGAUCAGCUUUUUGUUUACAUUCAACAUGACAGGCACCGAAGCGCAGCAACCUGUUGAUGCCGCUGUUGCUGCUACGUCACCUGGAUCGUUGGUCUGAUUGGUUGAAGGACUAGCCAAUAGCGCCCAGAGGCAUUUGA